UGAACGCUGGCGGCAGGCCUAACACAUGCAAGUCGAGCGGAUGAAGGGAGCUUGCUCCUGGAUUCAGCGGCGGACGGGUGAGUAAUGCCUAGGAAUCUGCCUGGUAGUGGGGGAUAACGUCCGGAAACGGGCGCUAAUACCGCAUACGUCCUGAGGGAGAAAGUGGGGGAUCUUCGGACCUCACGCUAUCAGAUGAGCCUAGGUCGGAUUAGCUAGUUGGUGGGGUAAAGGCCUACCAAGGCGACGAUCCGUAACUGGUCUGAGAGGAUGAUCAGUCACACUGGAACUGAGAAACGGGCCAGACUCCUAAGGGAGGCAGCCGUGGGGAAUAUUGGACAAAGGGCGAAAGCCUGAUCCAGCCAUGCCGGGGGGGUGAAGAAGGUCUUCCGAUUGUAAAGCACUUUAAGUUGGGAGGAAGGGCAGUAAGUUAAUACCUUGCUGUUUUGACGUUACCAACAGAAUAAGCACCGGCUAACUUCGUG
Molecule: ribosomal RNA, 482 nt
Filed under: uncultured bacterium
Lineage: Bacteria
Description: partial 16S ribosomal RNA
Rfam family: Bacterial small subunit ribosomal RNA
Source: RNAcentral